This is a ribosomal RNA of 646 nucleotides. The stretch from base 233 to 386 matches the Rfam family "5.8S ribosomal RNA".
CAUUAAUGAAAUAAAGCAAAUGCUUUUGGGGUUUUCUUAUGGGUUGUUGCUGGCCUAUUACUAGGUAUUAUUUAUAAGUGCACGCCCUUUGACUCCCUGGGGUAUUUCAGUUCUUUCUUCACACCUUGUGCACUAUCUGUAGCUUAUAAUCUGGCUAUGAAGUUUUUUAUAUACACACAAAGUCUAUUAGAACGUUUAUAACUGCAUCUUCAAUGAUGUUGAAUUAAAAUACAACUUUCAGCAACGGAUCUCUUGGCUCUCGCAUCGAUGAAGAACGCAGCGAAAUGCGAUAAGUAAUGUGAAUUGCAGAAUUCAGUGAAUCAUCGAAUCUUUGAACGCACCUUGCGCUCCUUGGUAUUCCGAGGAGCAUGCCUGUUUGAGUGUCAUGAAAUUCUCAACUGCCCUAUGGGUGAAGUUGGAUUUUGGAGUGCUUUGCUGGCUUUUUUUGUUAUCCAGCUACUCCUAAAAGUAUUUCAAGCCCUUUUGUUGGGAGAUUCUUGGCAUUAUAAAGUAUCUUUUGACGUGAUAACUAUCUACGUCGCAGAGAAAAGCCUUGAAGAUUACAAUACUGGGCUUGUAACAAAGAAAAUUCAUUUGAAAAAAUCUAUUUGACCUCAAAUCAGGCAGGACUACCCGCUGAACUUAA